RNAcentral lists this ribosomal RNA (587 nucleotides) under uncultured bacterium. RNAcentral's name for it is "bacterial SSU rRNA". It matches the Rfam family "Bacterial small subunit ribosomal RNA", at positions 9 to 589 of the family's 1533-position model. The record is from RNAcentral.
GAGUUUGAUCCUGGCUCAGGAUGAACGCUAGCGGCAGGCCUAACACAUGCGAGUCGAGGGGUAACAGGGAUUAGCUUGCUAAUUUGCUGACGACCGGCGCACGGGUGCGUAACGCGUAUACAAUCUGCCUUAUACUGGGGUAUAGCCUUUAGAGAUGAAGAUUAAUCCCCCAUAGUCUCUUGAGAUGGCAUCAUUUUAGGAGUAAAGGUUACGGUAUAAGAUGAGUAUGCGUUCUAUUAGCUAGUAGGUAAGGUAACGGCUUACCUAGGCAACGAUAGAUAGGGGCCCUGAGAGGGGGAUCCCCCACACUGGUACUGAGACACGGACCAGACUCCUACGGGAGGCAGCAGUGAGGAAUAUUGGACAAUGGAGGCAACUCUGAUCCAGCCAUGCCGCGUGCAGGAAGACUGCCCUAUGGGUUGUAAACUGCUUAAAUAUAGGAAGAAACCUUGGUACGUGUACCAAGCUGACGGUACUAUAAGAAUAAGGAUCGGCUAACUCCGUGCCAGCAGACGCGGUAAUACGGAGGAUCCAAGCGUUAUCCGGAAUCAUUGGGUUUAAAGGGUCCGUAGGUGGAUAAUUAAGUC